GGCGAGUGAGCGGCAAAGCUCAAAUUUGAAAUCUAGCACCUUCGGUGUUCGAGUUGUAAUUUGAAGAUGGUAACCUUGGGUUUGGCUCUUGUCUAUGUUCCUUGGAACAGGACGUCAUAGAGGGUGAGAAUCCCGUCUGAUGAGAUGCCCAUUCCUAUGUAAGGUGCUAUCGAAGAGUCGAGUUGUUUGGGAAUGCAGCUCUAAGUGGGUGGUAAAUUCCAUCUAAAGCUAAAUAUUGGCGAGAGACCGAUAGCGAACAAGUACAGUGAUGGAAAGAUGAAAAGAACUUUGAAAAGAGAGUGAAAAAGUACGUGAAAUUGUUGAAAGGGAAGGGCCUUAGAUCAGACUUGGUGUUUUACGAUUAUCUUCUCUUCUUGAGUUGUGCACUCGUAUUUCACUGGGCCAGCAUCGAUUCGGAUGGCAAGAUAAUGGCAGUUGAAUGUGGCUUCACUUCGGUGGAGUGUUAUAGCUUCUGCUGAUAUUGCCUGUCUGGAUCGAGGGCUGCGUCUUUUGACUAGGAUGCUGGCGUAAUGAUCUAAUGCCGCCCGUCAGAA
RNAcentral lists this ribosomal RNA (554 nucleotides) under Wickerhamomyces sp. S632Y23. RNAcentral's name for it is "eukaryotic LSU rRNA". It matches the Rfam family "Eukaryotic large subunit ribosomal RNA", at positions 88 to 657 of the family's 3401-position model. Lineage: Eukaryota; Fungi; Ascomycota; Saccharomycetes; Phaffomycetales; Wickerhamomycetaceae. The record is from RNAcentral.